AUUGAACGCUGGCGGCAGGCCUAACACAUGCAAGUCGGACGGUAGCACAGAGGAGCUUGCUCCUCGGGUGACGAGUGGCGGACGGGUGAGUAAUGUCUGGGGAUCUGCGCGAUAGAGGGGGAUAACAACUGGAAACGGUGGCUAAUACCGCAUAACGUCGCAAGACCAAAGAGGGGGACCUUCGGGCCUAUCACUAUCGGAUGGACCCAGAUGGGAUUAGCUAGUAGGCGGGGUAACGGACCCCCUAGGCAACGAUCCCUAGCUGGUCGGAGAGGAUGACCAGCCACGCUGGAACUGAGACACGGUCCAGACUCCUACGGGAGGCAGCAGUGGGGAAUAUUGCACAAUGGGCGCAAGCCUGAUGCAGCCAUGCCGCGUGUAUGAAGAAGACCUUCGGGUUGUAAAGUACUUUCAGCGGGGAGGAAGGCGAUGUGGUUAAUAACCGCAUUGAUUGGCGUUACCCGCAGAAGAAGCACCGGCUAACUCCGUGCCAGCCGCCGCAGUAA
RNAcentral lists this ribosomal RNA (506 nucleotides) under uncultured bacterium. RNAcentral describes it as "partial 16S ribosomal RNA". It matches the Rfam family "Bacterial small subunit ribosomal RNA", at positions 29 to 523 of the family's 1533-position model. The record is from RNAcentral.